Molecule: long non-coding RNA, 400 nt
Filed under: Helianthus annuus (common sunflower)
Lineage: Eukaryota; Viridiplantae; Streptophyta; Magnoliopsida; Asterales; Asteraceae
Description: hypothetical non coding rna
Source: RNAcentral
UUGGACAACCUACGUGGAAAGGUUUCCCAUGAAGCACUUGAUUUGCUGGAAAAAGAGCUACUGAGGAAGAUGGAUGUGUUGCGGAAACUUAACGCAUCAUGUGGUUGCCAUAUGUGGCUUAGCAAAGGAUUGCCGUGUGCUUGUAGGCUGGAAAACUACACACGUACAGGGCGUAUAAUACAACUCGACGAGAUAGAUGUAUUCUGGCGUAAGCUUGACUUGCUCCCUUGUAAACUGGUAGACGAGGAGGUCGAUAUUGUAGCAGAGCUCAAUAAUGUGCGGCAACAUUUAGAGGCGCAGUCCCCCGUUCAGCAAAAGAGUAUGCUUUCAAAGAUAAAAGCGGUUUUCACCCCGAAAUCGUCAACCAAGAAACCACCGAUCGUCCAGCAAAACACUCGCG